UGUGUAUGUGUGUGUGUGUUGCUUUAUAUUUUGACUGGCUCUGCACGGCUCUAGCCGCUCUUGAAGAGCAAGAUGGCCACCUGACCCAAGUAGAAGUAGAUGAAG
This is a long non-coding RNA of Drosophila navojoa, 105 nucleotides long. The record is from RefSeq and is a predicted model, not a curated record. Lineage: Eukaryota; Metazoa; Arthropoda; Insecta; Diptera; Drosophilidae.